GCCGCGGUGGCGGAACUGGCAGACGCACUAGCUUCAGGAGCUAGCGUUCGCAAGGACAUGGGAGUUCGAAUCUCCCCCGCGGCACUA
Molecule: transfer RNA, 87 nt
Filed under: Candidatus Giovannonibacteria bacterium RIFCSPHIGHO2_02_43_16
Lineage: Bacteria; Candidatus Giovannoniibacteriota
Also listed under: 3 other names
Description: tRNA-Leu
Rfam family: tRNA
About the family: Transfer RNA (tRNA) molecules are approximately 80 nucleotides in length.
Source: RNAcentral